Molecule: long non-coding RNA, 1485 nt
Organism: Falco peregrinus (peregrine falcon)
Lineage: Eukaryota; Metazoa; Chordata; Aves; Falconiformes; Falconidae
Exons: 3
Source: RefSeq, a predicted model, not a curated record
CCCCACAUUCUGGAAACCUGUCUAAUUGAAUUAGUAAGCCAUCGGGGGGGUUCCUGUGCAGCCUUGCUGCUAAAGGUAACCGUUUCCACGCCGGACGCUAUGGUAGGGUUUUACGCGGGCUGCGUGCGGAUGAGUGUCCGUCUGCCACGGAAAAGCAGUACACCAAGCAACUGAAACGUGACAGGCAGCUCCUUCCCCACGUUCCCCUGCGGCGGGGCUCGGCUUGUACGCCACGGGCGCUGCGCGGCACAGGCUGCGCGGCGGCACCGGCUGCGCGGCUCGGCCGGCCAGCGCCGUACGGCCGGGCGCUGCGUGAGGCACCGACGCGCGGGCGGCCGGUCCGCAGCCGGGAGGGAGACUCCGCUCUGCUUCGCCCGCCACCCCCUCCUGCAGGAGCCGCGCUGCCGGCGGCUGCCGGGCUCCGCCACCGGGAACCGUCGGCUCCGACGAGGCGGAGGGGACGCGCCGCGCCCCGCAGCCCCAGCGCGGCCAGCAGCCGCGGAGCCGCGCGGCGCGGGCAGGAGGAAGAAAUAAUCUUACGGAAGAGAACAAUUUAUGGCUGCAGAGAAACCUGAGCCAGUAUUUACUUGUGUGAGUAAUCUCCAUGAUUGCCACAGACACAGUCUGAUUGCAAAUGGAAAACAGUAAGCCUGACUUCAAUCCCCAAGAAAAUCAUGGAGCCAAUUUUCCUGGAAGCCACAUCUGAAGGACACAAAGAUGACGGGGAACAGCCAGCACAGAUCUACCAUGUGGAAACAAAGCCUGGUCAAACUGAUGGCUAUUCUGUGAUGACGUGACUGACUCUGUGGACAAGGGAUAUGUAAUUUUUUUUUUUUUUUUUUUGUCAGAAGAGGAUUGAGAAGAAGUGCUAUAGACUGAAAUACGAUUACUUCCUUUUCCAGUUCAAAGAUGGAAACAAAUUUUAUCUUGGGGUAACAAAGACACCAAAAAUUACCCCUUAAAAGAGGAACAAAAGAUACACAAGGGAAUUUAAAUACAAUCUUUUCAAAAAAGAUAAUGGGGUUUGAGCUUGUUUAAACAACAUGCACCUAACAUAUGAAAGCUGUUACUCCAGGCUGAUACUGCAUGCAGGAACUUAGUAGCAUUCAGAGAUGACAGUCACAAUUAUUGAUGACAGUGAAAACCCAGACCUAGACAGCAUUAAAAAUAAAGGCUAUAAUCUUCAAUGAUGUGAGUUACAUGCAAUAACCCAGAGACAUAGGAAAGAAAAAAUCUUUUUUGAAAUCUGGCAUUGUUUGGAGAACUGGUGUAUGCACUGCUUAUGAACUUCUGUGAAUGCCUUGAGAAAGCUGGAUCUUGGAGCAUUUCAGAUGCUAUAAAGACAGUCACAGAAUGCGGAAUAACACAUACAGACCAGAUGUAAAAUCCACAUAAUAUUUUCCUGGAACAGGUUGAGACAAUAAACUGGCAGAAAUUCACUUUAUAUCGCUUACUAAAUAUAUUAAUAUACAAUUAUAAGUGAUG